This 500-nucleotide ribosomal RNA is filed under the name uncultured bacterium. Its description in RNAcentral is "partial 16S ribosomal RNA". It matches the Rfam family "Bacterial small subunit ribosomal RNA", at positions 29 to 523 of the family's 1533-position model. The record is from RNAcentral.
AUUGAACGCUGGCGGCAUGCCUUACACAUGCAGGUCGAGCGGCAGCACGGGGGCAACCCUGGUGGCGAGGGGCGUACGGGUGAGUAAUGCAUCGGAACGUGUCCUCUUGUGGGGGAUAACCAGUCGAAAGACUGGCUAAUACCGCAUGAGCUCGAGAGGGGAAAGCGGGGGACCGCAAGACCUCGCGCGAGAGGAGCGGCCGAUGUCCGAUUAGCUAGUUGGCGGGGUAACGGCCCACCAAGGCGACGAUCGGUAGCUGGUCUGAGAGGACGACCAGCCACACUGGGACUGAGACACGGCCCAGACUCCUACGGGAGGCAGCAGUGGGGAAUUUUGGACAAUGGGCGCAAGCCUGAUCCAGCCAUGCCGCGUGUGUGAAGAAGGCCUUCGGGUUGUAAAGCACUUUCGGGCGGAACGAAAUCGCGCGGAUGAACAAUCCGCGUGGAUGACGGUACCGCAAGAAGAAGCACCGGCUAACUACGUGCCAGCCGCCGCCGUAA